RNAcentral lists this ribosomal RNA (253 nucleotides) under uncultured bacterium. Its description in RNAcentral is "partial 16S ribosomal RNA". It matches the Rfam family "Bacterial small subunit ribosomal RNA", at positions 524 to 776 of the family's 1533-position model. The record is from RNAcentral.
UACAGGGGGCUCGAGCGUUAGUCGGAAUCACUGGGCUUAAAGGGUGCGUAGGCGGUCCGCCAAGUGCUUUGUGAAAUCCCACAGCUCAACUGUGGAACAGCAGGGCAAACUGGCGGACUUGAAGCAGGUAGGGGCUGGAAGAACAGUUGGUGGAGCGGUGAAAUGCGUAGAUAUCAACUGGAAUGCCGAUGGGGAAGCCGUCCAGCUGGGCCUGUCUUGACGCUGAGGCACGAAAGCGUGGGGAGCAAACAGG